RNAcentral lists this ribosomal RNA (497 nucleotides) under uncultured bacterium. Its description in RNAcentral is "partial 16S ribosomal RNA". It matches the Rfam family "Bacterial small subunit ribosomal RNA", at positions 28 to 507 of the family's 1533-position model. The record is from RNAcentral.
GAUGAACGCUGGCGGCGUGCCUAAUACAUGCCAGUCGAGCGAACGGACGAGAAGCUUGCUUCUCUGAUGUUAGCGGCGGACGGGUGAGUAACACGUGGAUAACCUACCUAUAAGACUGGGAUAACUUCGGGAAACCGGAGCUAAUACCGGAUGAUAUUUUGAACCGCAUGGUUCAAAAGUGAAAGACGGUCUUGCUGUCACUUAUAGAUGGAUCCGCACUGCAUUAGCUAGUUGGUAAGGUAACGGCUUACCAAGGCAACGAUGCAUAGCCGACCUGAGAGGGUGAGCGGCCACACUGGAACUGAGACACGGUCCAGAAGCCAACGGGAGGCAGCAGUAGGGAAUCUUCCGCAAUGGGCGAAAGCCUGACGGAGCAACGCCGCGUGAGUGAUGAAGGUAUUCGGAUCGUAAAACGCUGUUAUUAGGGAAGAACAUAUGUGUAAGUAACUGUGCACAUCGUGACGGUACCUAAUCAGAAGACCACGGCUAACUACGUG